Molecule: ribosomal RNA, 301 nt
Filed under: uncultured bacterium
Lineage: Bacteria
Description: partial 16S ribosomal RNA
Rfam family: Bacterial small subunit ribosomal RNA
Source: RNAcentral
CAGUCGCCACGGUAAUACGGAGGGUGCAAGCGUUAAUCGGAAUUACUGGGCGUAAAGCGCACGCAGGCGGUCUGACAAGUCAGAUGUAAAAUCCCCGGGCUUAACCUGGGAACUGCAUUUGAAACUGUCAGGCUGGAGUCUUGUAGAGGGGGGUGGAAUUCCAGGUGUAGCGGUGAAAUGCGUAGAGAUCUGGAGGAAUACCGGUGGCGAAGGCGGCCCCCUGGACAAAGACUGACGCUCAGGUGCGAAAGCGUGGGGAGCAAACAGGAUUAGAUACCCCUGUAGUCCCUGUCUCUUAUAC